RNAcentral lists this ribosomal RNA (716 nucleotides) under Lasinus mikado. RNAcentral describes it as "eukaryotic LSU rRNA". It matches the Rfam family "Eukaryotic large subunit ribosomal RNA", at positions 663 to 1265 of the family's 3401-position model. Lineage: Eukaryota; Metazoa; Arthropoda; Insecta; Coleoptera; Staphylinidae. The record is from RNAcentral.
GGACCAAGGAGUCUAGCAUGUGACCGAGUUUUUCGGCGUUAAACCCGAAGAGCGUAGUGAAAGCGUUUGCCGUUCGUUUGUCUUCGGACAGGCGUGACGUACAUUGCACUAGCAGAGAUGAUGGUAGCCGCGACCGGUUGCUCGCAAUCUCGGGGUGGUCUCGUUUUCGGAUUUCGGUCCGAAAGAGCCAUACUCGUAGGUCACACGCUAAGCCCCGAAAGAUGGUGAACUAUGCCUGACAAGGACGAAGUCUGGGGAAACCCUGAUGGAGGUCCGUAACGCUUCUGACGUGCAAAUCGAUCGGCAUAGUCGGGUAUAGGGGCGAAAGACCAAUCGAACCAUCUAGUAGCUGGUUCCUUUCGAAGUUUCCUUCAGGAUAGCUAGACGUGAUUAGUAAUGCGUGCCUCGCGCACGCUCUACGUAGUCACAUGCGGUAAAGCGAAUGAUUAGAAGUAUUGGGGCCGAAACGGCUUCAACUUAUUCUCAAACUUUCAAUGUGUGUGCCCCGUGGGCUUUCAUAAACGCGUCUCUCUCUCACGAGAGAGACCGAAGCUCCGGACAGAUAUAACACGUCUAAGUGGGCCAUUUUUGGUAAGCAGAACUGGCGAUGUGGGAUGAACCAAGCAACAAGUUAAAGUGCCUAAGCCGACGCUUAUGAGAUACCAAAAAAGGCGUUAGUAACUAAAGACAGCAGGACGGUGGCCAUGGAAGUCGGA